RNAcentral lists this ribosomal RNA (610 nucleotides) under uncultured bacterium. Its description in RNAcentral is "bacterial SSU rRNA". It matches the Rfam family "Bacterial small subunit ribosomal RNA", at positions 125 to 731 of the family's 1533-position model. The record is from RNAcentral.
ACUGCCUGAUGGAGGGGGAUAACUACUGAAACGGUAGCUAAUACCGCAUAACGUCGCAAAACCAAAGAGGGGGACUUUCGGGCCUCUUGCCAUCGGAUGUGCCCAGAUGGGAUUAGCUAGUAGGUGGGGUAACGGCUCACCUAGGCGACGAUCCCUAGCUGGUCUGAGAGGAUGACCAGCCACACUGGAACUGAGACACGGUCCAGACUCCUACGGGAGGCAGCAGUGGGGUAUAUUGCACAAUGGGCGCAAGCCUGAUGCAGCCAUGCCGCGUGUAUGAAGAAGGCCUUCGGGUUGUAAAGUACUUUCAGCGGGGAGGAAGGGAGUAAAGUUAAUACCUUUGCUCAUUGACGUUACCCGCAGAAGAAGCACCGGCUAACUCCGUGCCAGCAGCCGCGGUAAUACGGAGGGUGCAAGCGUUAAUCGGGAUUACUGGGCGUAAAGCGCACGCAGGCGGUUUGUUAAGUCAGAUGUGAAAUCCCCGGGCUCAACCUGGGAACUGCAUCUGAUACUGGCAAGCUUGAGUCUCGUAGAGGGGGGUAGAAUUCCAGGUGUAGCGGUGAAAUGCGUAGAGAUCUGGAGGAAUACCGGUGGCGAAGGCGGCCCCCUG